GACGUAGGGCGCGAGCGUUGUCCGGAUUUACUGGGCGUAAAGAGCGUGUAGGCGGCCAAACAGGUCCGUUGUGAAAACUGGAGGCUCAACCUCCAGACGUCGACGGAAACCGUGUGGCUAGAGUCCGGAAGAGGAGAGUGGAAUUCCUGGUGUAGCGGUGAAAUGCGCAGAUAUCAGGAAGAACACCAAUGGCGAACGCAGCUCUCUGGGACGGUACUGACGCUGAGACGCGAAAGCGUGGGGAGCGAACAGG
This 253-nucleotide ribosomal RNA is filed under the name uncultured bacterium. RNAcentral's name for it is "partial 16S ribosomal RNA". It matches the Rfam family "Bacterial small subunit ribosomal RNA", at positions 524 to 776 of the family's 1533-position model. The record is from RNAcentral.